This 460-nucleotide ribosomal RNA is filed under the name uncultured bacterium. RNAcentral describes it as "partial 16S ribosomal RNA". It matches the Rfam family "Bacterial small subunit ribosomal RNA", at positions 338 to 795 of the family's 1533-position model. The record is from RNAcentral.
CCUACGGGGGGCUGCAGUGAGGAAUAUUGGUCAAUGGACGCAAGCCUGAACCAGCCAAGUCGCGUGAGGGAAGACGGUCCUAUGGGUUGUAAACCUCUUUUGUCGGGGGGCAAAAGCCGCCACGCGUGUCUUUCCGCGAGUACCCUACGAAUAAGCAUCGGCUAACUCCGUGCCAGCAGCCGCGGUAAUACGGAGGAUCCGAGCGUUAUCCGGAUUUAUUGGGUUUAAAGGGUGCGUAGGUGGAUGGUUAAGUCAGUGGUGAAAGUUCGCGGCUCAACCGUAAAAUUGCAGUUGAAACUGGCAGGCUUGAGAACAGUAGAGGUAGGCGGAAUUCGUGGUGUAGCGGUGAAAUGCUUAGAUAUCACGAAGAACUCCGAUUGCGAAGGCAGUUCACUGGACUGCAACUGACACUGAGGCUCGAAAGUGUGGGGAUCAAACAGGAUUAGAUACCCGGGUAGUC